This 497-nucleotide ribosomal RNA is filed under the name uncultured bacterium. Its description in RNAcentral is "partial 16S ribosomal RNA". It matches the Rfam family "Bacterial small subunit ribosomal RNA", at positions 28 to 507 of the family's 1533-position model. The record is from RNAcentral.
GAUGAACGCUGGCGGCGUGCCUAAUACAUGCAAGUCGAGCGAACAGACGAGGAUCUUGCUCCUCUGACGUUAGCGGCGGACGGGUGAGGAACACGUGGAUAACCUACCUAUAAGACUGGGAUAGCUUCGGGAAACCGGAGCUAAUACCGGAUAAUAUAUUGAACCGCAUGGUUCAAUAGUGAAAGACGGUUGUGCUGUCACUGAUAGAUGGAUCCGCGCCGCAUUAGCUAGUUGGUGAGGUAACGGCUUACCAAGGCAACGAUGCGUAGCCGACCGGAGAGGGUGAUCGGCCACACUGGAACUGAGACACGGUCCAGACUCCUACGGGAGGCAGCAGUAGGGAAUCUGACGCAAUGGGCGAAAGCCUGACGGAGCAACGCCGAGUGAGUGAUGAAGGUCUUCGGAUCGUAAAACUCUGUUAUUAGGGAAGAACAAAUGUGUAAGUAACUAUGCACGUCUUGACGGUACCUAAUCAGAAAGCCACGGCUAACUACGUG